This 110-nucleotide ribosomal RNA is filed under the name Alphaproteobacteria bacterium. The record is from RNAcentral. Lineage: Bacteria; Pseudomonadati; Pseudomonadota; Alphaproteobacteria.
UGGUGAUUAUGGCAUAGGUGCCCCACCCGAUCCCAUUCCGAACUCGGAAGUGAAAUCCUAUAGCGCUGAUGGUACUGCAUCUUAAGGUGUGGAAGAGUAAGUCGUUGCCA